AUUCUGUCUCACUUUAGCUUCUUUUCACACUCAAGGAAUAUCUCUUAAACUCAAAUGGGAUCAUCUCAUUCUACUCCUUUGUUUACUGAAUAAUUCUACCAGAGUUUUAUCAUCCAUGGCAAAUUGCUCUUUGCCCUAAAAUCUGUUCUUCCCUUCAUCCUGGACAUACCCAUUCCACCCCCAGCUAGAGACUACAUUUCUCAGCCUCCUUUGUGGCUAGGUGGCCAUUGACUAAGUUCUCAUCCACGGAAUGGGACGAUGUAAUAUGUACGCUUAUUUAAAAAGAAAUUGCUACUCUGACCUUCGUCUCUUUCUUCUUCCCAUGAGCUAAAACGUAGAUACGUCCGUGACCCAACUUCAACCAACCACGCAACGUCAAUGACCCAGGGGAUGCUGGAGCAACAGGAAGGAAGGAAUUGAUUGAACAAUCACGUGGAGCAAAGCCACGUUGUUAUUUAGGGCUACUACUUAAAUCAGAGAUCAUCUCUGUCUUCUUUAAGCCACUUCAGUUUGGAGGCUUUUUGUUCUAACAGGGCAUAGAAACUAGAACUCCUCUCCCUCAAAGCAAGCCAUAAAACCUAGAAAUGUCACUCUCUGACCUUCUCCCUGAAGACCC
This 616-nucleotide long non-coding RNA is filed under the name Homo sapiens (human). Its description in RNAcentral is "HSALNT0113845". The record is from RNAcentral. Lineage: Eukaryota; Metazoa; Chordata; Mammalia; Primates; Hominidae.